CAUGCAAGUCGAACGAGAGAGAAGGAGCUUGCUUCUUCGAUCGAGUGGCGAACGGGUGAGUAACGCGUGAGGAACCUGCCUCAAAGAGGGGGACAACAGUUGGAAACGACUGCUAAUACCGCAUAAGCCCACGGGUCGGCAUCGACCUGAGGGAAAAGGAGUGAUCCGCUUUGAGAUGGCCUCGCGUCCGAUUAGCUAGUUGGUGAGGUAAUGGCCCACCAAGGCGACGAUCGGUAGCCGGACUGAGAGGUUGAACGGCCACAUUGGGACUGAGACACGGCCCAGACUCCUACGGGAGGCAGCAGUGGGGAAUAUUGCACAAUGGGGGAAACCCUGAUGCAGCGACGCCGCGUGGAGGAAGAAGGUCUUCGGAUUGUAAACUCCUGUUGUUGAGGAAGAUAAUGACGGUACUCAACAAGGAAGUGACGGCUAACUACGUGCCAGCAGCCGCGGUAAAACGUAGGUCACAAGCGUUGUCCGGAAUUACUGGGUGUAAAGGGAGCGCAGGCGGGAAGACAAGUUGGAAGUGAAAUCUAUGGGCUCAACCCAUAAACUGCUUUCAAAACUGUUUUUCUUGAGUAGUGCAGAGGUAGGCGGAAUUCCCGGUGUAGCGGUGGAAUGCGUAGAUAUCGGGAGGAACACCAGUGGCGAAGGCGGCCUACUGGGCACCAACUGACGCUGAGGCUCGAAAGUGUGGGUAGCAAACAGGAUUAGAUACCCUGGUAGUCCACACCGUAAACGAUGAUUACUAGGUGUUGGA
RNAcentral lists this ribosomal RNA (760 nucleotides) under uncultured bacterium. RNAcentral's name for it is "bacterial SSU rRNA". It matches the Rfam family "Bacterial small subunit ribosomal RNA", at positions 54 to 827 of the family's 1533-position model. The record is from RNAcentral.